Molecule: ribosomal RNA, 403 nt
Filed under: uncultured bacterium
Lineage: Bacteria
Description: partial 16S ribosomal RNA
Rfam family: Bacterial small subunit ribosomal RNA
Source: RNAcentral
GACGAACGCUGGCGGCGUGCCUAAUACAUGCAAGUCGAACGCAGUGGGGACGGGUGAGUAACACGUGGGUAACCUCCCAUCAGAGGGGAUAACACUUGGACACAGGUGCUAAACCGAUACUGAUGGAUGAACCCGCGGUGCAUUAGCUAGUUGGUGAGGUAACGGCUCACAAAGGCCACGAUGCCUGGCCGAGCUGAGAGGGUGAACGGCCAGACUGGGACUGAGAACUGGCCCAGACUCCUACGUGAGGCAGUAGUAGGGAAUCUUCGGCAAUGGACGAAAGUCUGACCGAGCAACGCCGCGUGAGUGAAGAAGGUUUGCGGAUCGUAAAACUCUGUUGUUAGAGAAGCGGUAUCUAACCAGAAAGCCACGGCUAACUCCGUGCCAGCAGCCGCGGUAAUAC